CCUACGGGGGGCAGCAGUCGAGAAUCAUUCACAAUGGGGGAAACCCUGAUGGUGCGACGCCGCGUGGGGGAAUGAAGGUCUUCUGAUUGUAAACCCCUGUCAUGUGGGAGCAAGGGCGGGGACGUGUCCCGGCCCGGAGAGUACCCGGAGAAAAAGCAUCGGCUAACUCCGUGCCAGCAGCCGCGGUAAUACGGAGGAUGCGAGCGUUAUCCGGAUUUAGUGGGUUUAAAGGGUGCGUAGGCGGGCUUUUAAGUCAGCGGUAAAAAUUCGGGGCUCAACCCCGUCCGGCCGUUGAAACUGGGGGCCUUGAGUGGGCGAGAAGAAGGCGGAAUGCGUGGUGUAGCGGUGAAAUGCAUAGAUAUCACGCAGAACCCCGAUUGCGAAGGCAGCCUUCCGGCGCCCUACUGACGCUGAGGCACGAAAGUGCGGGGAUCGAACAGGAUUAGAUACCCCUGUAGUC
This 460-nucleotide ribosomal RNA is filed under the name uncultured bacterium. RNAcentral describes it as "partial 16S ribosomal RNA". It matches the Rfam family "Bacterial small subunit ribosomal RNA", at positions 338 to 795 of the family's 1533-position model. The record is from RNAcentral.